Molecule: transfer RNA, 69 nt
Filed under: Incilius ibarrai (Jalapa toad)
Lineage: Eukaryota; Metazoa; Chordata; Amphibia; Anura; Bufonidae
Description: tRNA-Val
Rfam family: tRNA
About the family: Transfer RNA (tRNA) molecules are approximately 80 nucleotides in length. Their secondary structure includes four short double-helical elements and three loops (D, anti-codon, and T loops). Further hydrogen bonds mediate the characteristic L-shaped molecular structure. tRNAs have two regions of fundamental functional importance: the anti-codon, which is responsible for specific mRNA codon recognition, and the 3' end, to which the tRNAs corresponding amino acid is attached (by aminoacyl-tRNA synthetases). tRNAs cope with the degeneracy of the genetic code in two manners: having more than one tRNA (with a specific anti-codon) for a particular amino acid; and 'wobble' base-pairing, i.e. permitting non-standard base-pairing at the 3rd anti-codon position.
Source: RNAcentral
CGUUAUGUAGCUUAAUUAAAGCAUCUCGCUUACACCGAGAAAAUGUCCGUGAAAACCAGACCGUCACGA